Molecule: transfer RNA, 79 nt
Filed under: Cronartium comandrae C4
Lineage: Eukaryota; Fungi; Basidiomycota; Pucciniomycetes; Pucciniales; Coleosporiaceae
Description: tRNA-His (GTG) (tRNA-His-GTG-2-1)
Rfam family: tRNA
About the family: Transfer RNA (tRNA) molecules are approximately 80 nucleotides in length.
Source: RNAcentral
GACUGGAUAGCCUAGUGGUCAAGGCAUCAUAUACAAGUUGUGUACUUGAGGGUCCUUGGUUUGAAUCUGAGUCUAGUCA